This is a non-coding RNA of Myotis lucifugus (little brown bat), 75 nucleotides long. The record is from Rfam. NCBI's taxonomy places the organism in Eukaryota, Metazoa, Chordata, Mammalia, Chiroptera, Vespertilionidae.
GGUGGUUCUCGGGUGACGCACCCAGAAUCUGGCUUCCUCCUCUCUGGUUCUGGGGUGCGUCACCCGAGAACUGCC